GGAGGGUUGGCUGAGCGGUCCAAAGCGAUGGGUUGCUAACCCAUUGAGCCCACAAAGGCUCGCACAGGUUCAAAUCCUGUACCCUCCG
Molecule: transfer RNA, 88 nt
Filed under: Patescibacteria group bacterium
Lineage: Bacteria
Description: tRNA-Ser
Rfam family: tRNA
About the family: Transfer RNA (tRNA) molecules are approximately 80 nucleotides in length. Their secondary structure includes four short double-helical elements and three loops (D, anti-codon, and T loops).
Source: RNAcentral